CUGGUUGAUCCUGCCAGUAGUCAUAUGCUUGUCUCAAAGAUUAAGCCAUGCAUGUCUAAGUAUAAGCAACUAUACGGUGAAACUGCGAAUGGCUCAUUAAAUCAGUUAUCGUUUAUUUGAUAGUACCUUACUACAUGGAUAACCGUGGUAAUUCUAGAGCUAAUACAUGCUAAAAACCUCGACUUCGGAAGGGGUGUAUUUAUUAGAUAAAAAACCAAUGCCCUUCGGGGCUCCUUGGUGAAUCAUAAUAACUUAACGAAUCGCAUGGCCUUGCGCCGGCGAUGGUUCAUUCAAAUUUCUGCCCUAUCAACUUUCGAUGGUAGGAUAGUGGCCUACCAUGGUAUCAACGGGUAACGGGGAAUUAGGGUUCGACUCCGGAGAGGGAGCCUGAGAAACGGCUACCACAUCCAAGGAAGGCAGCAGGCGCGCAAAUUACCCAAUCCCGACACGGGGAGGUAGUGACAAUAAAUACUGAUACAGGGCUCUUUUGGGUCUUGUAAUUGGAAUGAGUACAAUUUAAAUCCCUUAACGAGGAACAAUUGGAGGGCAAGUCUGGUGCCAGCAGCCGCGGUAAUUCCAGCUCCAAUAGCGUAUAUUAAAGUUGUUGCAGUUAAAAAGCUCGUAGUUGAACCUUGGGCCUGGCUGGCCGGUCCGCCUCACCGCGUGUACUGGUCCGGCCGGGCCUUUCCUUCUGGGGAACCUCAUGCCCUUCACUGGGCGUGUUGGGGAACCAGGACUUUUACUUUGAAAAAAUUAGAGUGUUCAAAGCAGGCCUUUGCUCGAAUACAUUAGCAUGGAAUAAUAGAAUAGGACGUGUGGUUCUAUUUUGUUGGUUUCUAGGACCGCCGUAAUGAUUAAUAGGGAUAGUCGGGGGCAUCAGUAUUCAAUCGUCAGAGGUGAAAUUCUUGGAUUGAUUGAAGACUAACUACUGCGAAAGCAUUUGCCAAGGAUGUUUUCAUUAAUCAGUGAACGAAAGUUAGGGGAUCGAAGACGAUCAGAUACCGUCGUAGUCUUAACCAUAAACUAUGCCGACUAGGGAUCGGACGGUGUUAGUAUUUUGACCCGUUCGGCACCUUACGAGAAAUCAAAGUUUUUGGGUUCUGGGGGGAGUAUGGUCGCAAGGCUGAAACUUAAAGAAAUUGACGGAAGGGCACCACCAGGCGCGGAGCCUGCGGCUUAAUUUGACUCAACACGGGGAAACUCACCAGGUCCAGACACAAUAAGGAUUGACAGAUUGAGAGCUCUUUCUUGAUUUUGUGGGUGGUGGUGCAUGGCCGUUCUUAGUUGGUGGAGUGAUUUGUCUGCUUAAUUGCGAUAACGAACGAGACCUUAACCUGCUAAAUAGCCAGGCCCGCUUUGGCGGGUCGCCGGCUUCUUAGAGGGACUAUCGGCUCAAGCCGAUGGAAGUUUGAGGCAAUAACAGGUCUGUGAUGC
This 1434-nucleotide ribosomal RNA is filed under the name Cladosporium sp. 6023. Its description in RNAcentral is "SSU rRNA". It matches the Rfam family "Eukaryotic small subunit ribosomal RNA", at positions 4 to 1470 of the family's 1831-position model. The record is from RNAcentral. Lineage: Eukaryota; Fungi; Ascomycota; Dothideomycetes; Cladosporiales; Cladosporiaceae.